CCUGGCGGCCGUAGCGCGGUGGUCCCACCUGACCCCAUGCCGAACUCAGAAGUGAAACGCCGUAGCGCCGAUGGUAGUGUGGACGGA
Molecule: ribosomal RNA, 87 nt
Filed under: Salmonella enterica subsp. enterica serovar Singapore
Lineage: Bacteria; Pseudomonadati; Pseudomonadota; Gammaproteobacteria; Enterobacterales; Enterobacteriaceae
Source: RNAcentral